RNAcentral lists this ribosomal RNA (514 nucleotides) under uncultured bacterium. RNAcentral's name for it is "bacterial SSU rRNA". It matches the Rfam family "Bacterial small subunit ribosomal RNA", at positions 30 to 528 of the family's 1533-position model. The record is from RNAcentral.
AUUGAACGCUGGCGGCAUGCCUUACACAUGCAAGUCGAACGGAUUUAAGGGGCUUGCUCCUUAAGUUAGUGGCGAACGGGUGAGUAAAGUAUCGGAACGUACCAUUCAGUGGGGGAUAACGUAGCGAAAGUUACGCUAAUACCGCAUAUUCUGUGAGCAGGAAAGCAGGGGAUCGCAAGACCUUGCGCUGAUUGAGCGGCCGAUAUCAGAUUAGCUAGUUGGUGGGGUAAAGGCCCACCAAGGCUACGAUCUGUAGCGGGUCUGAGAGGAUGAUCCGCCACACUGGGACUGAGACACGGCCCAGACUCCUACGGGAGGCAGCAGUGGGGAAUUUUGGACAAUGGGGGCAACCCUGAUCCAGCCAUGCCGCGUGAGUGAAGAAGGCCUCGGUUGUAAGUACUCUUCGUGGGUAGGAAAGUACGCGCUCGUUAAUAGUCGGGCGUGGAGUGACGGUACCCGGCCGACCAAGAAGACACCGGCGUAACUAACGUGCCACGCAGCCGCGGUAAACCGU